AUCUAAGGUAAGAUCAAUAACUCCAAUUUCAUUCCUUUCCUUUCCAAUGAAGCCUAAAUUCAUUCUUAAGUUUAUGCUCAUUUGGGUUAUUUGCAUGUGAUCACCUUUUAAGAGUUAGAGAGAAGAAUUAGCACUGAAUAAGUAUGUUAGAGCAGAAGAACAUGGGCACAAGAUGGAAGCUUGAAGUUUUGAUUGUGGAUUUUUGAAGAAAUUUGGGUUAAACCCGUAUUCAAGGACAGACCUUCCCUAAAAAGGUAAUUGUUCUCUCUUUGUAACUCCGAAUGAUAUGUUGUUUGUUUAUGUGUAUAGCUAACUCAAAUAUGGUCGUUAUGAUAUCAGUUUUAUAAUUUUUGGACGAGGGAUGAGGUUGGUAGCCAUUUUUGAAGUUGGAAGUCAGUAGAAGGAAUUGUGCAGAAAAUCUGAUUUUUUUUUGUUUUUAUGGGCUACAGGUUUGCAUUUUGAGCGGCUCAAACGGAUGAUUAUAAGCGUGUGAAACAGUUCGGAAUUGCUAUCAACUCAGGUGGGUUCCCUUAAGUUCAAUUUCACCUUAAUAGAGUAGUUCAUAGUUUUCCCCAAAUAUUAAACUAUGCAUGACAACUUAAGUUUGGUUAUGUUUAGGAUUAAAUUAGAAUAACUCAUUAACUGAUUAAUUAACCACUUAAAUAAGCCCUGCAUGUUGAAUUGACUGUAAUAUGUGGAAUUUAGUACGAAGUAUAAUUAUGUAAGCUGAAUUGGACAUAAACACUAUGUUGAGUUAUGCAGGAUUCCGUGGUUGAAUCGGCUCAACCAGAGCUUGCAUUGAUCCAUAAGUUUCCUUGUGAAGCAAAAAUGUGUCUUAUGCGCCUCAUGAGCCGGUUCAUGCCUUGAAUGAGCCUGUGCAUAAGCGCAUAAUGUAUUUUAUUAAAAUCUGGGAAAUGUUGCAUCGGUACAAACGUUGUGUGAACCGGCUUAAGCAUGUCCUGGGUGAGUUUGAAUUGCUACAAGGCAAACUUGUGUCGAUGCAUAUAAGUCAAAUAUCUUGCUUUCUUAAAAACUGGAUUAUAUGCAUUGGUACAUAGAACCCUUGAACCGGUGCAAACAAAAUAAUUUACUAAAAACCUUUUGGCUUAUAUAUAGGAGGUAUAAUAACCGUUUUAUUUCAACUGAAAAUCCUCCAUUAUGAACAUUAUUUUAUAAAAACUAUAAGUGACUAGAAUUCCACGAUUACGGACUUUCGUACAUGUAUUAAAAUCAGUUAGACAAUUGAAUCAGGAUAUUCAGGAUUGUUAGAAAUACCCUCGGGAAGGUUUUCUUUUCUUUGUGCAGGAUAACCAUUCAAGAUUAUGAACAUUAGUUACCAUGUCAUGAGAAUCAUUUCAGAAUCCGAGAAAUUUAAUAAGAACUGCAAGCUGAGGUGGAACCCGACGUAUAUUAUUAUCGGUAGUACGAGGACUAGGCACUCCGGGACCCGCUUGCCUCGAAGUGACCCUAUGCGGAUAAUAUUGACAAGAUAAUAAUAAGCGGUACACCUUUACUGCUUUAUAUUAUUAUGUUAUGAAUUAUGUCAGGAUUAGUACUAUUAGAAGUUCAGGAUCAGGUUAUGUUAGAAACUAUUAGUUUUAGUUGCCCUGGUGUAGUCACCAGUAGUUGGGUAGUAGGAACUCACUGAGGCUUAGUAGUGUCAUCCCACGCCCUUCAAAUUUUUUUAGGUAAAUAGGUUAACCUGAGCAAGGACCAGACAGGAACCGAUGAUCGACGUUGCGCUUGGAUUAUCGGAUUAGAAGACUUUCGUUAAGCUGUUAAGUUGGGAUACAAUUUGUUAAGUUGUUAAGUUGAGAUACAAUUCUCUUUCGUUUGUAUUGUACUGGAUUUUCACAUUGUUCUUGUGAUAUCUUGUAAAUUCAAUAAAUUAUUUUUGAAUUUUAAGGUGCUCGGAUUUCAAUUAUUAAAUAUUCUAGUCAAUUUAGUUGGGCUUUCACAUCAGGAGGCAUUAAGACGCUUCCCUAGAAUUGAAAAUGUCUUCUCUAAGCUUUUUGUUUUUGUUGAAGAGGUCAAAAUGGAAUACAAUCAGUCGAAACCCAUAUAUAGCAAUGGAGUCAACCACCAACAAUGAAAAUUUGAGACUAAAGUUACAUUUGUCGAGUUCAAUCACCAAUAAGAAAAUAAUUUGACCUUAUNNNNNNNNNNNNNNNNNNNNNNNNNNNNNNNNNNNNNNNNNNNNNNNNNNNNNNNNNNNNNNNNNNNNNNNNNNNNNNNNNNNNNNNNNNAACAUCGCUGCAUCCAGAUACACAAUAACAAACGUCGGCUGAAAUGAUUCCUCGAGUAACCAAGUUUUUCUUCGUUGGAAACCUAUCCCUCAAAAGUUUGCAUGCAAGAAUCGAAACCUUAAAGGAACCUGUCUGUGCCAUAUAAGACCGUGACCGUCAUCUAAAUUGACCAUAUCCUGAGAAAUCAAUAACUGAUACGCGCCAUGAACAGAGUAACCGUGAUUAGGGUCUGGCACCCACUGCCACCUGUCUGAAAUAUGAUCCUACAAAGAGAUAGUAGGUAGUAAGGCCUGACACUAUCCUAACUUCUCCUCCUCCCACAACUGCCUCCUCCAAACCCACGUUUGACUACCAGCCCCCCACCCUAACAAAGACAUCUCUGCUACUAAAGCUGCUUUAUUCUCCGCUAAGUCAAACAUGCCUAAAACUCACCCACAAAAAACUAUCCCCUAGCCAUGGAUCAGUCCAAAACAAGGUAUCAGACCCAUCCCCAACCUUCUUCGAAACACUCUCUUGAAACCACCCUACACCAUCAGCACCCUCCAAGAUUCUCACAAUCUCCCUCCACCAUGCAGACCCUCUCCUCUCUCCAUCUUUCACUCUUUCUCUCUCGACCCAAUACCUAGCUGCCAGCACUCGGAACCCAUUUUCCGAAAAGAGCUAAGUUAAACUCCCUCAAUUGUCUAACCUCUAACCCUACAUACUCCUUACGUAAACAAAUAGUUUUCCAACUGAUCCAAGGGAUUUUCCUACGAUCCUCACUCCCCCCCCNNNNNNNNNNNNNNNNNNNNNNNNNNNNNNNNNNNNNNNNNNNNNNNNNNNNNNNNNNNNAAGAUUCAAUAGAAGAGAUUAUACUUGAGGGAUCCUUGAAGAAGGAAAGAGCAUAGACAAGUAGAGAGGUUAAGACAUACUUGAGUAAGAUCAGACGACCGCCAAAAAAAGGGAAGCGACUCUUCCAUCCAUAUGACAUGUUCUUUAUAUGAGCUAUCAUCGGUUCCCAAAAAGCCAAACGACGCGGAUCACCACCAAUAGAAACCUAGAUAAAGGAAAGACACAUUUCCCACUCUACAGCACAGAGCCUAUGCGGCCUCAUGUAACUAGGAAUCAGGGAUAUUAACCCUUACCUGCAAACUCUUGUUGAAAUUAACCUUCAAAAUCAACAUAGACUCGAACACCACCAAGAAGGCUUAAAGCGCAUGGACAUUCACCCAGGUUUUAGACCCGACCAGCAGCGUAUCAUCGGCAAACUGAAGGUGUGAGACCGAAACCCGAAACAUGAUUUUGUUCUCCAACAUUAUACCCCGUAAACAAAUUACUCUCAACCAUAGCAUGCAUCAUCACAUUCAAACCUUCGGCUGUUAGAAGAAAAAGAAAAUGAGAAAGUGGAUCCCCUUGUCUUAAACCCCUCUCAAGAGGGAACUCAUCAGUGGGACUACCGUUAACCAAGAUUGACGUUGUCGUCGUGCUAACACAUUCUCUAAUCCAUUUUCGCCACAACGUCGAAAAAGACAUAUGUCCCAUAACAUUAUCCAGAUAGCCCAGUCCAUCGAAUCAUAGGAUUUCUCGAAAUCCACCUUUAAUAACAACAAUUCCUUGUUAUACCUACGCGCCUCAUCAACCACCUCAUUCGCAAUGAGGAUUCCAUCGAGGAUUUGCACAUCCUUUACGAACGCACUUUGCGACUCAAAAAUGACACUACCAAUACUGGAUGGAAAAUUGAAGGUGUAAAACGAGACUUGGCUGAUAUAUGUGAUACGUACUAUUCACAUAAAACCGUUGGAACGAAGAAUUUGCGAUCUGUCAAUGAAGUGGUGAAUCACUUACUUCCUGAAGGAUACCCCAAGUUACAUUGCAAGAAGGGAAAAUUAAAGGGCAAUGAAGUUAAGGAUGAAAACAGUAAUCUUGAAUCGACGGGAAAAAGGAAGAGAAGAAGGAGAAAAUAAUGUUAAAGAAGUCUCAAGAAAAAGAAAGAAUAAUGUUUUUGUAAUCGGUUCUUCUUCUUCUUCUCUAAAGACCGAGGAUACGUCAAUAAUUCUAAGAGAAGUCUCAGUUGAAUCAUUAGAAGUUAAAGAAGUCUCAAGAAAACGAAAGAAUAGUGUUUUUCUUGGUUCUUAAAAGAACGAGGAGAAGUCAAUAAUUCUAAGAGAAGUCUUAGCUGAAUCAUCAGAAGUACAAAUUGUCAUUCCUUCUAAUGAUGAAAGAUUGGAAGACAUGUUAAACAAUUGUGUUGAUGAUAAUGAUAAAUGCAUAGUAGUUGUGGACAACAAAAUGGACGAAGAUUUGGAUGAAAUUAUAGAAGAAUUUCCUGAAUAUGAUGAUUUAGCAAACCAGUUUUUUAACUAGUUUUCUCAAAAGACCGAGAAGGAGAACAAUUACAAUAUGCAUAGUGUUUAGAAAUAAACUGGAAAACUAGAGCAAAUAAGCACCGGAGUGGAUCAAAAUUUAGUGUUGUUGUUAACCAACAAAUAAUGAAUACAUUUAUUCAUUUAGAAUUUCUUGGAAGAUCAUGAUCAGGUCUAGUUCUUUCUUCUAUUUUUUUUUUCGGCUGUAGUUCUAUAAAUUUAAUGAUUGAAAUUUCAUUGUGCUUUUAAAUUUUAAAAAAAAUUGUGAAACUUUUAAGGUUGAAUGCUUUUUAUUGUAAAACUUUGUUUGGUCGGAUAGUCAUUGAACAAGAAAAGGUUGAAGUAGUUGAUUAAAAUAGAUUCUAUUUUAAUCAAUUAAUUCCACAUUUUCUUGUUCAAUGACUAUCCGACCAAACAUAGUUUUCCAAUAAAAACCAUUCAACCUUAAAAGUUUCACAAUUUUUUUAAAAAAGUUUAAAAGCACGAUGAAAUUUCAUUCAUUAAAUUUAUAGAACUACAACCGAUCAAAAAAACAAAAAAAACCAGAAGUAACAACUACAAUUGAUCAUGAUCUUCCAAGAAAUUCUAAAUGAAUAAAUGUAUUCAUUAUUUGUUGGUUAACAACAACACUAAAUUUAGAUCCACCGUAGUCCUUAUUUGCUCCAGUUUUCCAGUUUGUUUCUCAACACUAUGUUUAUUGUAAUUGUUCUCCUUCUCGGUCUUUUGAGAAAACUAGUUAAAGAACUGGUUUGCUAAAUCAUCAUAUUCAAGAAAUUCUUCUAUAAUUUCAUCCAAACUUUGGUCCAUUUUGUUGUGCACAGCUACUAUGCAUUUAUCAUUAUCAUCAGCACAAUUGUAUAACAUGUCUUCCAAUCUUUCAUCAUCAGAAGGAAUGACAAUUUGUACUUCUAAUGAUUCAGCUGAGACUUCUCUUAGAAUUGUUGACUUCUCCUCGUUCUUUUGAUAAGAAGAGGAACCAAGAAACACUGUUCUUUCGUUUUCUUGAGACUUCUUUAACUUCUAAUGAUUCAAGUGAGACUUCUCUUAAAAUUAUUGACUUCUUCUCAGUCUUUUGAGAAGAAGAACCGAUUAGAAAAAUACAAUUCUUUCUUUUUCUUGAGACUUCUUUAACAUUAUUUUCUCUUUUUCUUCUCUUCCUUUUUCCCCUCGAUUCAAGAUUACUGUUUUCAUCCUUAACUUCAUUGCCCUUUAUUUUUCCCUUCUUGCAAUGUAACUUGGGGUAUCCUUCAUGUAGUAAGUGAUUCACCACUUCAUUGAUAGAUCGCAAUUUCUUCGUUCCAAGGGCUUUAUGCGAAUAGUACGUAUCACAUAUAUCAGACAAGUCUCGUUUUACACCUUCAAUUUUCCAUCCAGUAAGCUUAGAGAAGACAUUUUCAAUUCUAGGGAAGCGUCUUAACGCCUCAUGAUCACCACGAAAAUCAAAAGAAAUUGUUUAACUCAAUAAUUGAAAUAAAAAUACUAAAAUGAUGCAAUUGAAUUAUAUAUAAAUGGAUGGCCAUUUCAGCAACUUCGCCACCAUCUUUCGGACUUGCAGCACAAGCAAGCAGAAAAUAGAAGAUCAAGUAGAACAAGAAGCAUGCCAGCAAGG
This 6197-nucleotide long non-coding RNA is filed under the name Trifolium pratense (red clover). RNAcentral describes it as "long non-coding RNA (TPRA_LNC003952)". Lineage: Eukaryota; Viridiplantae; Streptophyta; Magnoliopsida; Fabales; Fabaceae. The record is from RNAcentral.